Molecule: transfer RNA, 71 nt
Filed under: Sphaerotermes sp. A TB-2017
Lineage: Eukaryota; Metazoa; Arthropoda; Insecta; Blattodea; Termitidae
Description: tRNA-Phe
Source: RNAcentral
ACUUGAAUAGCUUAUUUGUUUAGAGCGCGACACUGAAGAUGUCGAUGAGGUGUUAUUUAUACCUUUAGGUG